GAAGAAUCAGUUUACAUUUCCAGUCAAUCGACAGAUAAAAAACAAUGAAGGUCACAAUGUUACUGCUGUUUGCUUUUCUUUGCCUGUUUACAAUUGUAAACAACGCCUAUGGUGCUGAAGUUGCAAACUCAGUCAAGUUUCCAGGUGCCGCACUUGCCCAUGAUGUACCCGCCCACGUCCCAGACACCCUACCAUCAGACUUCGUUCCAGGGGCCGCACCAAGGUAGAAAGAAGGCUGAAUUCUUCCAUAGCUUGUCUUGUAAAAAUAUCUACUUAUUUUGAUCAACUUUGACCCAAACAUCGAGGGAUUCUUGAAGAACAGCGACAAAAUCACCACAGCUGACGACAAGAAUAUAAAUAUAAUUCACUGACUAAUCCAAUUUAAUAAUCCUUUCUACUAUAGCACAAGUCGAUUACAUCGACCCUAGUGCGUAACUGGUAUUUAUUUCAUCGGCACCGAAAGGAUAGAUGGCAAAGCCGACCUCGACGACUCAGAACGCAAGGUUGGACGAAAUACCAAUAACCAUUUCACUCAGCAGGCUAACGAUUCUGCCAGCUCGCCACCUUAAAUACAGUUUAAUAAUGCAUGUCAUUCUCGGAACUGAAGUCAUCACAACCAACCAAAUUUUAGUUAUUAUAGUGUACAUUGCAUAAAUCUAUUGAAAUAAACAAACAUCUGAAACAAA
Octopus bimaculoides (California two-spot octopus) is the source of this 686-nucleotide long non-coding RNA. RefSeq lists it as uncharacterized. NCBI's taxonomy places the organism in Eukaryota, Metazoa, Mollusca, Cephalopoda, Octopoda, Octopodidae. The record is from RefSeq and is a predicted model, not a curated record.